GACGAACGCUGGCGGCGUGCUUAACACAUGCAAGUCGAACGGAAAGGCCCUGCUGUUGUUGGGUGCUCGAGUGGCGAACGGGUGAGUCACACGUGAGUAACCUGUCCUUGACUGUGGGAUAACUUCAGGAAACUGGGGCUAAUACCGGAUAUGAGCUCCUGCUGCAUGGUGUGGGUUGGAUAGUUUCGGCGGUUGGGGAUGGACUCGCGGCUUAUCAGCUUGUUGGUGGGGUAGUGGCUUACCAAGUCUUUGACGGGUAGCCGGCCUGAGAGGGUGACCGGCCAAAUGGGGACUGAGAUCAGGCCCAGCGUCCUCCGGGAGGCAGCAGGGGGGAAUAUUGCACAAUGGGCGGAAGCCUAAUGCAGAAACGCCGCGUGCGGGAUGACGGCCUUCGGGUUGUAACCCGCUUUCGCAUGUGACGAAGCGGGAGUGACGGUAAUGGGUAAAGAAGCACCGGCUAACUACGUG
This 468-nucleotide ribosomal RNA is filed under the name uncultured bacterium. RNAcentral describes it as "partial 16S ribosomal RNA". It matches the Rfam family "Bacterial small subunit ribosomal RNA", at positions 28 to 507 of the family's 1533-position model. The record is from RNAcentral.